GGAUGUGAGGGCGAUCUGGCUGUGACAUCUGUCACUCUACGGAUCGUCAAGGUUGAUUUGGCUCAUCUGGCAGGCUAAGCAGGUGUCCCCUUCCUCCCUCCCCAUUCCAUGUGUGUCCUUCCCAAAACUGUGCGCUCCAUCGAAGAGGAUGACCUUUCCCGAUAGAAUCGAGGACCGUCCUUCGGUCCAGGGUAUGCAAGCAGCUGCCCUCCCCCCCUAGAAUCUCCAAGCAAAGAGACAAGAAUGUUAAAUAGUCAUGAAAUGCAAGAUGAAUAUUAUAAUAAAUAAAUUUUGCUUG
Molecule: small nuclear RNA, 298 nt
Filed under: Echinops telfairi (small Madagascar hedgehog)
Lineage: Eukaryota; Metazoa; Chordata; Mammalia; Afrosoricida; Tenrecidae
Description: 7SK RNA (ENSETEG00000024737.1)
Rfam family: 7SK RNA
About the family: 7SK was discovered as an abundant small nuclear RNA in the mid-70s but a possible function has only recently been suggested. Two independent studies have found that 7SK RNA binds the CDK9/cyclin T complex (known as elongation factor P-TEFb).
Source: RNAcentral